CAUUAAUCAUAUUUUUGGAUGCAUGUAAGGGCCGUUUGGUUACAUGUAGUUACAACUGCACUGCAGUUAUAACUGCAUGUAAAUACAAAUUCAAUGUUUGGUUUGACGUAUUUAACUUCAAGUGUUGUAAUAGAAACUGCAAAAGGAGGUCCAACUAUAGCAGUUGAAACUACGCCUAAAUUGGCCGCAGUUUUCACUGCAGCAGUUGAAGAAAAUAACUUUAAACAAAAAAUAUGCUUAUCUCCUUAAUUACUUUUUAAAUAAAAAAUAUUUUUCUUUCUUGCAUUAGAGAUAAUCUCAUCAUUAUACAUAUAAAAUGAUAAACUUUUAAAAAUUAUUUCUCAACUGCAUGCAACUAAACAAAUUAUUUAUAAUCGCAACGCUUUCUACUACAUCCAACUAAAUAGAAUGCAUGUAAUUACAACUGCUAUAUUUUCAACUAUACUAUAUUUGUAAUUACAUCUAACCAAACGUGCCUAAGUGAGGAACCUUAAU
Molecule: long non-coding RNA, 495 nt
Filed under: Ananas comosus (pineapple)
Lineage: Eukaryota; Viridiplantae; Streptophyta; Magnoliopsida; Poales; Bromeliaceae
Description: long non-coding RNA (ACOM_LNC025406)
Source: RNAcentral